GAAGCAGACUGCACGCACAUCUCAGACAGCUUACAAAGCUCUGGCAGUAGGAGAGCGUGGCCGUUUCCCGAGAUGUGUGAUCUCACCAUCAAGUCCUGAAGCUCAUUCUCUGGUGAUGAACCUUUCUAGAGAAGCCAGUGUCUGACAUGGUUUGGUUCCUAUUGUCACCUGAUUUGCACCCUUGGAGCAAUGGGAGGGAUGGGAACAGCCUGUGCUGGCUGCCUGAGAAUCUUACAGUUAUUUCCAAGGUUACCAAAAUCUCCUCUAUGCUUAGAAAAUCUUCCAAAAAAUACAUUAUUGGUCUCAAUAUUACUCCUUGGCUUUUUUGUGGAUCCUCACCUGCUGACAGCUCUGAGGAAGAGUGUUCUGGGAAUGGAUCCAGGAGUCACCAGUGCUCAGCUGCACUAAGAGCUCUUGCAAUGUGCGGGAUCAGCAGCAGUUGGUGAGGAGCUGUCUCUGAUACUGUGAGAGACUUGGCACCUCUGUGUGAUGAAAUCCUUAUACUGGCUGUGGUUACAGGGCUGAGCAAAACACAGAGCAGAUGAAGAGAUACAGGGAGCCUCCAGUUUUUUAAGGAUUACAGUAGCUGGCAGCUCCUUGUGAAAUCCGGUUGCUGAAGGACAGUGCUGAUCCAGGGGUGCUGCGUGUGCUGGGCCAGACAGAUGGUGUCCACAUCCAGUCUGCACGCAGCAAAGCAAAGCCCUGCUGUCAUGCCUGGAGAGCUCCUUGGAAAGCACAAGGAAGAUGUGGCACACUGAGACCAAGGGAAGAGCAGCCGCCUUGUCCCAGUGAGACGUGGAGCACUGCAAAGUCUCAUCUCCUUGCAAGAUGAGGGAUGGAAGCUGCCCUUUUGAGAUGGCAACCACACCAGAACCAGUUGCUUUCCUAACCAGCUGAUGUCCUUCCCAUGGCACUGAGGACAGACAGCUUGGUGGCCCUGGUGGCUUGCUGGGGAGGAGCAGGCAGUGGGUCUGCAGUUCUUUGUGUGACCGUAGAAAUACAGCAAGAGGCAUGGCUGGAUAAGCCUCACCAAGGGUUGUGAGGGAUGUCAGUGUGAAGGGUGCAGCUAAGCUGAAGCCAUGCAGAAUUAACUUCAGUGUCUCCCUUUCAUGGCUCUGUUCACAUGUGAAAUGAGUGACAUGGAGAUUUGAGGAAGAGCAGACCACAUAUAAAAGGAACAAUCAAUCUUACUGGAUUUUUAAAAGAAGGCACAAAUAAGUACCCCAUGCAGAGGAAAAUUACCUACGUAAGACACUUUCCAAGAACAAAUGAGGGAUGAUUUCUUCCAUCACUGACAUCAGUUACACAUAUGUGGAUAAACAUCACAGUGAGUAGCAGUCCUGCAAUCCACAGGGGCACUGGAAAAAGUAAACUCGUGGGUGACACUUCUGAGCAUUCAGUUAGGGUUUGCUCUCAAGCAUACCUAAAUGAAGGAUCCGUGGUCCCUGAAAUGUAGGAAUUGUUCAGCCUCCAUGUAUAACAGACUUUCCCAAGGGUUUGAAGGUUGUUACUGAGCAGGUCCUGUUACCUGUAUUUAUUUCCUCUGAUGGGAAGAGCAAGGCAGGCACCCAAGAAGCACUAGCAUUAUGUUGGGAAAGGCACAGGAGAAUACUGAGAAGCAAAGCUACAAUUUUCUCCAGCAUUUUACUGCCUCCCUUCAUUGCAUGUCUGGUAGAAGUAAACAAGAUCAGAUACAUUUAUACUGAAAGCAGUUCUGGCAAAUUUGGAAUCUCUCAACUGCAGAUGGAGAGAUGAUGCUUCAUGAUGCUUCACAUUUCUGGUCUACUGCAUAUUCAGAGCUCUCUCUGCCUUCAGUCUCAGUGCUGCUUUGGCUCUGAGAUCAUUAGCUUCAUUUUGUUCAGCUUCAGCAAUGUGGCUCCCAGAUGUGUUUUCCGGUAUUUCGUUUAUAACUGUGAGGAAUCUACAGCAUCCAGUCACCCCUGUGCCUGCUUUUUUUUUUUUUUCCUUGGCAUUGAAAUUCUCUGAACAGGACAUUCCUAUUAACAUCAACAGUCAAAAAUGAAAUAAAACUAAAAAACCCUGUAAGGUUUUCAUUCUCACCAGGAAGCUCUUUAAGGUAGAACUUCAACCACACACACUUUUAUAGAAAUAUUUGCUGGUAAAAUUAUGGGAGUUUUUUUACUCGCCACUACGCUUAUAGGAGUUUUCAGCUGACAUCUUACAUCCAUAUGAAGUGUGCCUUUUCAGUCUCCAGCUUUGAUUUGAAUCGUGAUUAUUCCUCAGCAUUUCCACCAGUGUGCUCCUCCUUUUAAUCCAGUGGUCUCUGCAGAAGCACUGGAUAUUUAGCUGUGUUUUAUUGCACUGACUGCAGAAUCCAGAACAUAAUGAAGAAAGGCCCCAUCCAGUGUUUUUGGAACACACCUUCAUUUGUCUGAAGUCGUGGUUUGCCAAGUGGAAGUAGCACAUCAGACUCUUAUUGCUCCUUUGCUAGCAUUUUUGGACUGUGGCUGAGGGUGGCUGAGGUGAAUUCACAGCAACAGCCUACUCCAAUGAGAAGGUUUGGGGAGACAACAUGGAAAAUAAGCAAAUUCCAGUUUAAACCUUGCCAGGCAAUAGCUGGUGACCAGAGGGGCUGAAAGGGACCCUAAAGGCUUUUGGAACAACAUUCUUUCUCAAUCAGCAGUAACGUGUACCAGGCUCCAUGGCUGUUACUUUGAUGAAACCAAUGCCAUCAUCUGACACCAAUCAGCUACAUCAAUGAUAAAGAAAGGUUGGCAUCUGCCAAGAAUGGAUUCAUUCUAAAGAGAUGCAACUGCUCAGGGCUGAGGACCACUUGCUAGAUACAGGUAUCUCUUCAGGAGCAACUUCAUUGUCUUGACAUGGGUAUGUACAGCUUGUAGGACCACAAAAAACCUCUACAUGUACACACACACACACAGAUGGAGCCAAGAGACUGAAUGAACCAUCCACCUCUUGCUGCAUUGUCUUCUUUGCUCUGCCAGCCUCUACACCAGAAGAGUGAGAAGAAAAUGUGGGAGAACAAAGUAAAUACCAUGCCUAUAUGUGGAACUUCUGGUCUACGACAAAGUUUUUUCAGCAAAACUGUAUACAAUUAAUGUACCUACAUAACUGUGUAUCCUUCAUGGUCUUUUCAUGAAGAUGUGUGUUGGAGAGAACCAUUCAUCUGGUUAAUAUUUGUUUGCACUUUAAUCCCCUUUUCUGUCCCGCUCCAAACUAAUUGUGUGUGCGUUUGUCCCUCCCUUUAACAACUGCAAAUAAAAAGCAGACGGGAAGCCAGGAGCUUUGACAAAAAGCAGGAAGAGGAGAAGAAAAAGCCCUGAGAAAAUGAUAGCCACACAUGGCACACUCUGAUCUCACUGUAAUGAGGAGGUUUGUAAAGACUUGCAUUUGUGGGUCAUUUACCCAUGCCGUACAGAGUGUUUGUUUUACUUGGUAAACAAGGAUCACAGCACUCCGCUUUUAGGCAAAUAGAUUGUGGAUAUAUUUUCAAAACUGAACUUGAAUGACUUUAAAAGUGUGUAAUAGCUCUCACUGCUUUUAAUUUCUUUUACACGUAGCUUUUUAAAUGUAGUGUGACUAUUGACAGCCCUGGAAGGUAAUCUAGGGUCAAUUUUCCCUUGCUUUGAUUUGGGCAAUCAAAAGAGAUACAGCUAGCAGCUGUGGAAUUUCUCUGUCUCUGAAUGUAUUUUACUCCAGUUUCUGGUGUUCUUGUCUGGCUCUGCUCUCCUGCCUAUGAUCUCAGCAUCACCUUGCGGUGCUCAGCCACCGAUAUUGCCCUCAUGUUGGCUUGCUCCAGGUGCAAGAAAGUUGGCUUACCUGGUAUGGAAACCCAGAUGGAUGACGGCCGGAGUUCAGUAUGGACUGAGGCUCUGUCCCUUAGCUCUUGCCUUGGCUGUAACCAGCUUGACCCACACAUAAAGCAAAAGUAAACUUGUGCUUGGACAUGGUUUAUGAAGAGAUCAGAGACGUGGUCUCUGUUGUUUCACCUCCGCGGAGCCCCAGAAACCUGAGGGUUGCCACACAGUGACCUCUUCUAGAAAUUAUAGACCGGCUCUUACCUGUGCAGUACAAUGUGAUCCAGGACCCUCCACACAGUUUGGGUAAAGUGCCUUUUUAUGCUCUCUGUUAGUGACUGCCCUUUGAUGUUACUCUUGAUAUUUGAACAUUCCAUGUUUGUGUUUCUGCUCUUUAGUCUUUGUGGAAAUGAAAAAUAUUUUACCACUCUUGCAAAAUUACACACUUCGGAUGUACUUUGGUAAUUUUUUGCAGUUUUUUUGAGUUUUGUGAGCCCUCUCACCGAUUUCCAGGGUACUCAGACUUACUGAUCAAGAUCCACUUCAGGACCUCGGACUGAAUCCAGCUAAGGCAAAUUUGUAUUUAUUUCUGCAAGAUGCUUCAUCACAGCUUCUAGCUUUACCUGAAAAAAAAUGCCUUGACAGCUUCACUAUACCUGUAAGCUCACACCUGGCCAUUCCACAGCUAGAUUGCUGCUGUCCUCCUGUGGGUCUCCACUACCUCCCUUCCUCCAUGGGGAGUAUCUUUUCCUGCCUUCACCCCCCAAAUUCUGGCUCCCUGCAUGCCUGACAGGGCAGCAGCCCCUCACUCCAGCCUUCAUUGUCAUGCUGAAUCAGCAGCUUGAAUACCAGGUCAGUUCUCACUCAUGUGCAACUCUUUCUGCUCUAGGGAAGGUCCCAGGAUGCAGGCAGUGUCAGUCCUCCCAACUCUGAGGCUCCCUCAGCCUCAGCCAGGAUGUGAAGGCUGCUGACAGCAGGAAUUCACAGCAGCAGGGUAUCAUGCUGCUUACUGCCUGCGAAUUUGGUGUAACACAAGGAUUUUGGACAGAGGAGCCAUAUACUGUGGGCUAUGGAAGGGUUGUCUUGAACAUUAAUUCAUGGGAGAGAACCAAACUGAGAGCUAUUUUAUGGCCAGCCUGGGAAUCCCUGCAUCACUGAAGCAGUAGUAACAAGUGCCCUCUGGGUGGAUAGGCAUGGAUUUUUCAUAUUGGUUUCCCCAACAGAUUUUUUUUCAACAAAGUUAAUAUUCUCCUGCUGAAAAUGCCUGUUCUGUAACAUGGAUAUUCUGUGCAUUUUAAUCAUUCCAGGAAAAAUUCCUACCCAGCAAGUCUAUUCAAUGCCUUACUUAUUUUCCUUCUUUGUGUUUUGUUUCCCAAAUGUAAAUAUUAAC
This is a long non-coding RNA of Catharus ustulatus (Swainson's thrush), 5166 nucleotides long. RefSeq lists it as uncharacterized. The transcript is spliced from 13 exons. NCBI's taxonomy places the organism in Eukaryota, Metazoa, Chordata, Aves, Passeriformes, Turdidae. The record is from RefSeq and is a predicted model, not a curated record.